GUGAAUCAUCGAAUCUUUGAACGCAUAUUGCACUCUCUUCGGAGAGGAUGCCUGUUUGAGGGUCAGCCUAAAAAAAAAAUCGACAUAGACGCUGUUUGGCAGUGACAUUUGUCGGAAAUUGGUUCGUUUUAAGCCUUUUGGUUUUUUUGGGGUUAAAAUUUUCUUUAUGAUUCCACUAACGUUUCUAA
This 188-nucleotide unclassified non-coding RNA is filed under the name Glomeraceae sp. Its description in RNAcentral is "partial contains 5.8S ribosomal RNA and internal transcribed spacer 2". The stretch from base 1 to 65 matches the Rfam family "5.8S ribosomal RNA", at positions 84 to 154 of the family's 154-position model. Lineage: Eukaryota; Fungi; Glomeromycota; Glomeromycetes; Glomerales; Glomeraceae. The record is from RNAcentral.